GAGGUGGGAGGAUCACUUGAGCUCAGGAGUUGGAGGCUGCAGCAAACUGUGAUCAUACCACUGCACUCCAGCCUGGGUGACAGAGCAAG
This 89-nucleotide microRNA precursor is filed under the name Saimiri boliviensis boliviensis (Bolivian squirrel monkey). RNAcentral describes it as "miRNA (ENSSBOG00000008670.1)". Lineage: Eukaryota; Metazoa; Chordata; Mammalia; Primates; Cebidae. The record is from RNAcentral.